Osmia bicornis bicornis is the source of this 399-nucleotide long non-coding RNA. RefSeq lists it as uncharacterized. Lineage: Eukaryota; Metazoa; Arthropoda; Insecta; Hymenoptera; Megachilidae. The transcript has 3 exons. The record is from RefSeq and is a predicted model, not a curated record.
CUCGCGCGCAACGACGCCAUUAUUGAUCAUCGAUCACCGCGAAUCACACGUGCAAAUCUGUUUCCGCUCAACUCAAAUUGUUCAAGUGCAGUUCAUCUGUGAAAAUCACCAACCACGCUCAGUGAAGAGAUCACGAUCCACAGCACCUGUGCAAGCUACUGGAUCAAUAGUAUUCUCUCCAUAAAUGUGAAGAAGAUCUCUACCGUAAAAGUUAAAGUUUUAUCCCCACUACCAGGGGGAUCCUCCUUGGAACCAGUCAAGCGUUAAACACCCUGGACAUCGAGUCAGCGAGGUGUCAAGUAUCGAUGAGACUGUUGCGCGUGGAUUUCAGGUGUCUAGGGAUUUUUGGAUGCUUACAACGUGGUCGGGUUGAAGCUUUGAAUCGUUCUGAGCUUGGCG